This 700-nucleotide ribosomal RNA is filed under the name uncultured beta proteobacterium. Its description in RNAcentral is "bacterial SSU rRNA". It matches the Rfam family "Bacterial small subunit ribosomal RNA", at positions 94 to 790 of the family's 1533-position model. The record is from RNAcentral. Lineage: Bacteria; Pseudomonadati; Pseudomonadota; Betaproteobacteria.
AGUGGCGAACGGGUGAGUAACAUAUCGGAACGUAUCCAAUAAUGGGGGAUAACUAAUCGAAAGGUUGGCUAAUACCGCAUACGCCCUACGGGGGAAAGCAGGGGAUCUUCGGACCUUGCGUUAAUGGAGCGGCUGAUAUCUGAUUAGCUAGUUGGUGAGGUAAAGGCUCACCAAGGCGACGAUCAGUAGCUGGUCUGAGAGGACGACCAGCCACACUGGAACUGAGACACGGUCCAGACUCCUACGGGAGGCAGCAGUGGGGAAUUUUGGGCAAUGGGCGCAAGCCUGAUCCAGCCAUUCCGCGUGAGUGAAGAAGGCCUUCGGGUUGUAAAGCUCUUUCGCAAGGGAAGAAAACUUACUUUCUAAUAAAGAGUGAGGUUGACGGUACCUUGAUAAGAAGCACCGGCUAACUACGUGCCAGCAGCCGCGGUAAUACGUAGGGUGCGAGCGUUAAUCGGAAUUACUGGGCGUAAAGCGUGCGCAGGCGGUUUUGUAAGUCAGAUGUGAAAUCCCCGAGCUCAACUUGGGAACUGCGUUUGAAACUACAAGACUAGAAUAUGUCAGAGGGGGGUAGAAUUCCACGUGUAGCAGUGAAAUGCGUAGAGAUGUGGAGGAAUACCAAUGGCGAAGGCAGCCCCCUGGGAUAAUAUUGACGCUCAUGCACGAAAGCGUGGGGAGCAAACAGGAUUAGAUACCCUGG